UACGACUACAUAUCAGGCAUAUCAAUAAGCGGAGGAAAAGAAACUAACAAGGAUUCCCUUAGUAACGGCGAGUGAAGCGGGAAGAGCUCAAAUUUGAAAUCUUCAAGGUUCUACCUUGACGAAUUGUAGUUUAAAGAAGUGUUUUCUGUUAGAUGAGUAGCAAAAGUUCCUUGGAAUGGGACAUCAUAGAGGGUGAGAAUCCCGUAUUUGGUUAUUCAUUCUAGCUUUGUGAUACACUUACAAAGAGUCGGAUUGUUUGGGAAUGCAGUCCAAAAUGGGUGGUAAAUUUCAUCUAAAGCUAAAUAUUGGCGAGAGACCGAUAGCGAACAAGUACCGUGAGGGAAAGAUGAAAAGGAACUUUGAAAAGAGAGUUAAACAGUACGUGAAAUUGUCAAAAGGGAAGCGUUUGACACCAGUGUUGUUUUUCCGAAAAUCAAUUACGAAUGGCUUGAUUUUGUGUUGUAUUGACCUUAUCAGCUUUCUGCACUUUUUUCGAGUCUUUCUUAAUGCACUUUUCGGUUAACAAGUCAACAUCAAUUUCUUUUGUUGUAAAAGAGUAUUCGGAAGGUGGCUUUCUUUUCGGAGAAAGUGUUUAUAGCCCUAUACUUCUACAAUCGGAGAGAUUGAGGUCUGCAGCGUAGAUCCUUCGAGGUUAGAUACAUUUGUGCUAAGUUGUAGCUUUUCAUAGACAACUUGUUGACUAUGUUUAGUCAUGCGGCUUACUCGCUUAGUGCUAUUUUACCUACGCUUAGGAUGUUGAGUAGCGACAUACGCAC
This 776-nucleotide ribosomal RNA is filed under the name uncultured Neocallimastigales. RNAcentral describes it as "partial large subunit ribosomal RNA". It matches the Rfam family "Eukaryotic large subunit ribosomal RNA", at positions 24 to 649 of the family's 3401-position model. Lineage: Eukaryota; Fungi; Neocallimastigomycota; Neocallimastigomycetes; Neocallimastigales. The record is from RNAcentral.